Molecule: long non-coding RNA, 677 nt
Organism: Chiroxiphia lanceolata (lance-tailed manakin)
Lineage: Eukaryota; Metazoa; Chordata; Aves; Passeriformes; Pipridae
Exons: 3
Source: RefSeq, a predicted model, not a curated record
GCGCUCGCAAGCGACGCCCGUGGGAAAGCGGCAGUGUUUUGGCCCUGCCGGCCUUCCCCCGGAGUGCCCGGGCUGGCCCAGCACCUGGCAAAACCUCUUAGGGAAAAGGCAAGGAACAACUGCAGUUGUUCUACCGUUUCUUUAGCCGGGGACUGGAACACAGACAAAAUCAAGGUGGUCUUUGACCUGUGCAGGCUCCGAGCAUUUUUCAACCUUCCUUAGCAGGGCAUUCUCACCCUCUGAAAAGCUGGAAGACUUUAACAUCUGGAUCCGCACCUGCAGCUGUGCAAAUUAAUGUAGUUUCUUUUAGGAAACGAAGGGAAAGUUUUCCUGUUGUGAGCCUAAAUACCGAGUCUACUCUGCUUUUUCCAUCAGGUGACGAAGCUUAUGGAAAAAAAGACCAAAGGCCUCGAGGGAUGUUAUUCUUGACCCCCCGGGGCAAAGGGAGGUGUUCACCUGGUCAGCGUCAGGAGCCAUCCUAACUGAGGCCCUGGUAGGCUCCCUCUUUUCCUUCGGUUGCUGUAGAUGUGCCGGACGCCUCUGGCAGGACUAACCCUGUGGCUUUUACGUCCAGCGUGCUGUGCUGCGUGCCUGCAGGUAAGAAAAGCUGGGAGUGCAGUCCCUCUGCUUUGAUUGCUGUGUCUCUUUGGUAGUGAUUUUGGAGGGGAAUCCCAGAG